This 433-nucleotide ribosomal RNA is filed under the name uncultured bacterium. Its description in RNAcentral is "partial 16S ribosomal RNA". It matches the Rfam family "Bacterial small subunit ribosomal RNA", at positions 29 to 507 of the family's 1533-position model. The record is from RNAcentral.
AACGAACGCUGGCGGCAUGCCUAACACAUGCAAGUCGAACGAGACCUCCGGGUCCAGUGUCGCACCGGUUCGUAAAGCGUGGGAAACUGCCCUUAAGCUCGGACUAACUCCCCGAAAGGGGUGCUAAUACCGGGAAAUAUCUUCCGUCCAAAGGUUUAGCGCCAUUGGGUGGGCGCGCGUUGGCUUAGCUGGUUGGUAGGGUAAAAGGCUACCACGGCGACGAGCCGUACAUGGUUAGAGAGGCUGGGCCGCGACACUGGUACGGGGCCACGGCCCGGACUCUUAGGGGAGGCAGCAGUGGGGGAUCUAGGACAAUGGGCGGAAGGAUGAUGCAGCAAUGCUGCGUAAGUGAUGAAGGCCGUAGGGUUGUACUGCUGUUUUACCCGGGAGGGGGAUGACGGUACCGGGAGAAUAAGCACCGGCUAACUACGUG